UGGGGAAUUUUGGACAAUGGGCGAAAGCCUGAUCCAGCAAUGCCGCGUGUGUGAAGAAGGCCUUCGGGUUGUAAAGCACUUUUGUCCGGAAAGAAAUCCUUGGCUCUAAUACAGUCGGGGGAUGACGGUACCGGAAGAAUAAGCACCGGCUAACUACGUGCCAGCAGCCGCGGUAAUACGUAGGGUGCAAGCGUUAAUCGGAAUCACUGGGCGUAAAGCGUGCGCAGGCGGUUUGCUAAGACCGAUGUGAAAUCCCCGGGCUCAACCUGGGAACUGCAUUGGUGACUGGCAGGCUAGAGUAUGGCAGAGGGGGGUAGAAUUCCACGUGUAGCAGUGAAAUGCGUAGAGAUGUGGAGGAAUACCGAUGGCGAAGGCAGCCCCCUGGGCCAAUACUGACGCUCAUGCACGAAAGCGUGGGGAGCAAACAGGAUUAGAUACCCUGGUAGUCCACGCCCUAAACGAUGUCAACUAGUUGUUGGGGAUUCAUUUCCUUAGUAACGUAGCUAACGCGUGAAGUUGACCGCCUGGGGAGUACGGUCGCAAGAUUAAAACUUAAAUGAAUUGAC
Molecule: ribosomal RNA, 566 nt
Filed under: uncultured bacterium
Lineage: Bacteria
Description: partial 16S ribosomal RNA
Rfam family: Bacterial small subunit ribosomal RNA
Source: RNAcentral